AUUAGCUGGUUGGUGAGGUAAUGGCUCACCAAGGCGACGAUCCGUAGCUGGUCUGAGAGGAUGAUCAGCCACAUCGGGACUGAGACACGGCCCGAACUCCUACGGGAGGCAGCAGUGGGGAAUAUUGGACAAUGGGCGCAAGCCUGAUCCAGCCAUGCCGCGUGUGUGAAGAAGGCCCUCGGGUUGUAAAGCACUUUCAGUGGGGAAGAAAGCCUUGGGGUUAAUACCCUCGAGGAAGGACAUCACCCACAGAAGAAGCACCGGCUAACUCCGUGCCAGCAGCCGCGGUAAUACGGAGGGUGCGAGCGUUAAUCGGAAUUACUGGGCGUAAAGCGCGCGUAGGUGGCUUGAUAAGCCGGUUGUGAAAGCCCCGGGCUCAACCUGGGAACGGCAUCCGGAACUGUCAGGCUAGAGUGCAGGAGAGGAAGGUAGAAUUCCCGGUGUAGCGGUGAAAUGCGUAGAGAUCGGGAGGAAUACCAGUGGCGAAGGCGGCCUUCUGGACUGACACUGACACUGAGGUGCGAAAGCGUGGGUAGCAAACAGGAUUAGAUACCCUGGUAGUCCACGCCGUAAACGAUGUCGACUAGCCGUUGGGAGCCUCGAGUUCUUAGUGGCGCAGUUAACGCGAUAAGUCGACCGCCUGGGGAGUACGGCCGCAAGGUUAAAACUCAAAUGAAUUGACGGGGGCCCGCACAAGCGGUGGAGCAUGUGGUUUAAUUCGAUGCAACGCGAAGAACCUUACCUACCCUUGACAUCGUGCGAACUUGGUAGAGAUACCUUGGUGCCUUCGGGAACGCACAGACAGGUGCUGCAUGGCUGUCGUCAGCUCGUGUUGUGAAAUGUUGGGUUAAGUCCCGUAACGAGCGCAACCCUUGUCCCUAUUUGCCAGCGAUUCGGUCGGGAACUCUAGGGAGACUGCCGGUGACAAACCGGAGGAAGGUGGGGACGACGUCAAGUCAUCAUGGCCCUUACGGGUAGGGCUACACACGUGCUACAAUGGUCGGUACAAAGGGUUGCAAAGCGGCGACGUGGAGCUAAUCCCAGAAAGCUGAUCUCAGUCCGGAUCGGAGUCUGCAACUCGACUCCGUGAAGUCGGAAUCGCUAGUAAUCGUGAAUCAGAAUGUCACGGUGAAUACGUUCCCGGGCCUUGUACACACCGCCCGU
RNAcentral lists this ribosomal RNA (1164 nucleotides) under Halomonas sp. SL014A-23A. RNAcentral describes it as "bacterial SSU rRNA". It matches the Rfam family "Bacterial small subunit ribosomal RNA", at positions 240 to 1397 of the family's 1533-position model. RNAcentral also lists the same sequence under 1 other name. The record is from RNAcentral. Lineage: Bacteria; Pseudomonadati; Pseudomonadota; Gammaproteobacteria; Oceanospirillales; Halomonadaceae.